Mastomys coucha (southern multimammate mouse) is the source of this 115-nucleotide ribosomal RNA. Lineage: Eukaryota; Metazoa; Chordata; Mammalia; Rodentia; Muridae. The record is from RefSeq and is a predicted model, not a curated record.
GUCUAUGGCCAUACCACCCAGAAUGUGCCCGAUCUCGAUCUCGGAAGCUAAGCAGGGUUGGGCCUGGUUGGUACUUGGAUGGGAGACCGCCUGGGAAUACCAGGUGCUGUAGGCU